Molecule: small nucleolar RNA, 63 nt
Filed under: Otolemur garnettii (small-eared galago)
Lineage: Eukaryota; Metazoa; Chordata; Mammalia; Primates; Galagidae
Description: Small nucleolar RNA SNORD43
Rfam family: Small nucleolar RNA SNORD43
About the family: U43 is a C/D box small nucleolar RNA that is encoded in intron 1 of the ribosomal protein L3 gene in human and cow.
Source: Rfam by way of RNAcentral
AACAGGUGAUGAACUCAUCGAUAGGAGGACAGAGACACUGUGUUGAUUGCCAUGUUUGAGGUU